RNAcentral lists this transfer RNA (74 nucleotides) under Lachnospiraceae bacterium. Its description in RNAcentral is "tRNA-Met". It matches the Rfam family "tRNA". From Rfam's summary of the family: Transfer RNA (tRNA) molecules are approximately 80 nucleotides in length. Lineage: Bacteria; Bacillati; Bacillota; Clostridia; Lachnospirales; Lachnospiraceae. The record is from RNAcentral.
GGCGAAGUAGCUCAGUUGGCUAGAGCACGCGGUUCAUACCUGCGGUGUCGAGGGUUCGAAUCCCCCCUUCGCUA